Molecule: ribosomal RNA, 190 nt
Filed under: Pseudomonadota bacterium
Lineage: Bacteria; Pseudomonadati; Pseudomonadota
Description: Proteobacteria bacterium partial 16S ribosomal RNA
Rfam family: Bacterial small subunit ribosomal RNA
Source: RNAcentral
UCGGAUAUCAGCCAUGAUCCGGUGAAUACGUUCCCGGGCCUUGUACACACCGCCCGUCAAGCCAUGGAAGCUGGGGGUACCUGAAGUCGGUGACCGCAAGGAGCUGCCUAGGGUAAAACUGGUAACUGGGGCUAAGUCGUAACAAGGUAGCCGUACCGGAAGGUGCGGCUGGAACACCUCCUUUCUAGAG